Molecule: ribosomal RNA, 427 nt
Filed under: uncultured bacterium
Lineage: Bacteria
Description: partial 16S ribosomal RNA
Rfam family: Bacterial small subunit ribosomal RNA
Source: RNAcentral
UGGGGAAUAUUGCACAAUGGGCGCAAGCCUGAUGCAGCCAUGCCGCGUGUAUGAAGAAGGCCUUCGGGUUGUAAAGUACUUUCAGCGGGGAGGAAGGUGUUGAGGCUAAUAACCUCAGCAAUUGACGUUACCCGCAGAAGAAGCACCGGCUAACUCCGUGCCAGCAGCCGCGGUAAUACAGAGGGUGCAAGCGUUAAUCGGAAUUACUGGGCGUAAAGCGCACGCAGGCGGUCUGUCAAGUCGGAUGUGAAAUCCCCGGGCUCAACCUGGGAACUGCAUUCGAAACUGGCAGGCUAGAGUCUUGUAGAGGGGGGUAGAAUUCCAGGUGUAGCGGUGAAAUGCGUAGAGAUCUGGAGGAAUACCGGUGGCGAAGGCGGCCCCCUGGACAAAGACUGACGCUCAGGUGCGAAAGCGUGGGGAGCAAACA